This 250-nucleotide ribosomal RNA is filed under the name uncultured Chroococcidiopsis sp. RNAcentral's name for it is "partial 16S ribosomal RNA". It matches the Rfam family "Bacterial small subunit ribosomal RNA", at positions 796 to 1044 of the family's 1533-position model. The record is from RNAcentral. Lineage: Bacteria; Bacillati; Cyanobacteriota; Cyanophyceae; Chroococcidiopsidales; Chroococcidiopsidaceae.
CUAGCUGUAAACGAUGGAUACUAGGCGUUGAGAGUAUCGACCCUCUCAGUGUCGUAGCUAACGCGUUAAGUAUCCCGCCUGGGGAGUACGCGCGCAAGCGUGAAACUCAAAGGAAUUGACGGGGGCCCGCACAAGCGGUGGAGUAUGUGGUUUAAUUCGAUGCAACGCGAAGAACCUUACCAGGGCUUGACAUGUCCGGAGCCCUGCCCAAAGGCGGGGGUGCCUACGGGAACCGGAACACAGGUGGUGC